This 253-nucleotide ribosomal RNA is filed under the name uncultured bacterium. Its description in RNAcentral is "partial 16S ribosomal RNA". It matches the Rfam family "Bacterial small subunit ribosomal RNA", at positions 524 to 776 of the family's 1533-position model. The record is from RNAcentral.
UACGGAGGGGGCUAGCGUUGCUCGGAAUCACUGGGCGUAAAGCGCACGUAGGCGGAUUCCUAAGUCGGGGGUGAAAUCCUGGAGCUCAACUCCAGAACUGCCUUCGAUACUGGGAAUCUUGAGUCCGGAAGAGGUGAGUGGAAUUCCGAGUGUAGAGGUGAAAUUCGUAGAUAUUCGGAGGAACACCAGUGGCGAAGGCGGCUCACUGGUCCGGUACUGACGCUGAGGUGCGAAAGCGUGGGGAGCAAACAGG